Molecule: ribosomal RNA, 919 nt
Filed under: Mycolicibacterium rufum
Lineage: Bacteria; Bacillati; Actinomycetota; Actinomycetes; Mycobacteriales; Mycobacteriaceae
Description: bacterial SSU rRNA
Rfam family: Bacterial small subunit ribosomal RNA
Source: RNAcentral
AGUCGAACGGAAAGGCCCUUCGGGGUACUCGAGUGGCGAACGGGUGAGUAACACGUGGGUGAUCUGCCCUGCACUUUGGGAUAAGCCUGGGAAACUGGGUCUAAUACCGGAUAGGACCACGGUCUGCAUGGAUUGUGGUGGAAAGCUUUUGCGGUGUGGGAUGGGCCCGCGGCCUAUCAGCUUGUUGGUGAGGUUACGGCUCACCAAGGCGACGACGGGUAGCCGGCCUGAGAGGGUGUCCGGCCACACUGGGACUGAGAUACGGCCCAGACUCCUACGGGAGGCAGCAGUGGGGAAUAUUGCACAAUGGGCGCAAGCCUGAUGCAGCGACGCCGCGUGAGGGAUGACGGCCUUCGGGUUGUAAACCUCUUUCGCCAGGGACGAAGCGCRAGUGACGGUACCUGGAGAAGAAGCACCGGCCAACUACGUGCCAGCAGCCGCGGUAAUACGUAGGGUGCGAGCGUUGUCCGGAAUUACUGGGCGUAAAGAGCUCGUAGGUGGUUUGUCGCGUUGUUCGUGAAAACUCACAGCUUAACUGUGGGCGUGCGGGCGAUACGGGCAGACUGGAGUACUGCAGGGGAGACUGGAAUUCCUGGUGUAGCGGUGGAAUGCGCAGAUAUCAGGAGGAACACCGGUGGCGAAGGCGGGUCUCUGGGCAGUAACUGACGCUGAGGAGCGAAAGCGUGGGGAGCGAACAGGAUUAGAUACCCUGGUAGUCCACGCCGUAAACGGUGGGUACUAGGUGUGGGUUUCCUUCCUUGGGAUCCGUGCCGUAGCUAACGCAUUAAGUACCCCGCCUGGGGAGUACGGCCGCAAGGCUAAAACUCAAAGGAAUUGACGGGGGCCCGCACAAGCGGCGGAGCAUGUGGAUUAAUUCGAUGCAACGCGAAGAACCUUACCUGGGUUUGACAUGCACAGG